CCCCCCCCCCCCCCCCAGAGUUUCGAUGACGCGAGGAGCAGGUGACGUCACGUGUUCCACACAAAUAGCAGUGACGUUCUGGAGAGAGCGCUCGUCUCCUUGCAACGAUGCCGGAGUCCGGGGAGGGACACGUGGUGGAGAAGUCACGUAACGCUGAUCCAAAGAGGGGGGAAAUGGGAGAGAUGUUUCUUCCUCGAAGGGUGGGGAGGAAAUGUCACGUGAUAGAGCCGAGCCACGCUCCUCCUCCGCUCCACCUCCGCAGCGAGAUGCAAAAAGUGAGCCCCCCCGGAAGACGCGAAGGGCAACAACGUUGCCAGGUGAGAGCCGGGCGCUCCGUCUGAGCAUUACAUGUCGUCAGAUUGGUCAAAAAUAAAAAUUAACUUUUCUCCAACUUUCGCUCCACGUAGAGCAAAGAUAUUUUGCAGGAAUGUAAAGUGAGGCAAGCUGAUUUCAGUAACAUAAUUUUAGAAGUAUUCUGAAGACACGUGAUUUAGCCCGUGGUGGUGCUUUAAAGGAACUGUAAAGUGAAUUUCAACCCAGGGUUAUCUUAUGAUUUUAUGAAAGCCUAGGAAGAGUACAUCUCAGUUACGAAAUAUUUCUUUUUAAAUCCCUUCUUUCUUUGAGUAAUCGAAUUUCAAAGAUUGCAUUCGAGCGCAAAGCUAAGUACUCCCUCAGACACAACACUGGGUUGGCUCGUGUCGGCUACGGCUAGUCUCGCUUUUCUAAUCCGCCUCCCGGUCUGUGGCGAAGGCGUAUUGUUGUUUUGAGGUCCACGUCGUGUGAUGUUGAUUUUUCCAAACUUGAAUGCCCUCGAGCUUGCGAUAGUCCAGCAGUCACGCCCGCAAAACGGUUGUUCGUACGAGUGCACGCGGUAGACGCAGUAUGACACGACAUCAUCCGCAGAAUCGUCGACGGAGGAUGAAUUACCGUCAUAGCAGUCACCUAGCCGCCGUGGGAAACACUCUUCAUGUGUAAUGAAAAUGUUGAGAACCUCGCAGCGGAAAUAUGGCAUUGCUCUUUCGGUUCAGGUGUCCUUGUGGCAGAUGCAUGCUGAUGCCGACGGCAGAAGAAUGCCUUUGUUGCCGCGAAAUGAGACGUUACUGAAGCAGCACAGCGGUUGCAUUUCAAGAAAUCUGUACUUUAAAAUACUGUGAUUGAAGACUGAGUUGCUCCAGGUAUCCUCUGCUACGUGAGAGGAAGCGACGAGUACGCUGUUAAGAGGAACAGCAAAGUGAACAAGAAGUUUUGGUACGUUGCCUAUAAACAGUUUACCAGGUGGCUCUGGGGACCAUUAGGAAAGCUGAAAGCACUGCAGAAAAGUCCUCGAAGCAUGUGCUGUACAUGCCAUAAGGGAAAACUUUCCUUCUGAGGCAUACAAAGGUUUUUGCCUUUUUGACGUGUGAUGCAGUAGGUGCUGUCUGACCAUGUAUAUGUCUGUUUGCUUUCACUGAGAUGAAGCUCUCAAUUUUCUUUCAGGUGCUUGAAGGCAGCAUUAAAUGCCUCCCAUCUUGACAGCAGUACACUGGAUGGUUUGAUCGUGAACACUGCUUUAUCACAACAGUAUCCCUUUCAUGAACAAUAGAGGUCUGCCAUAUACCCUUCUGGAAUAACCAGACAGCCGUUACACAGUAAAAUACAUUCUACAGACAUCAAGGCUUGUAAUGUUGCUUUAUUGAUCACUGUGUUUAUGAAUGAGCAUACAAGAGAUAGCAGUAAACAAGCAAACAAUGAAGGAGAACAUCCCCAUAUUGGUUCACACCACCGCAGCCAGAAACACAGACAAAAGGCACACACAAAACAGGACGAACUGCAACUCACGACUACUUUACUGUUGAACACACAUACACUCUUAAAUACCAGAGCAGGCACCUGUUCCCCUAUGUAUCUGACCUAUUUUUUUAGAUAACAAAAUUCCUCCUGUAUGAGGGCGAUAGAGGGAGCGCUGACACAUUUUUCUCCUUUUUCCUCAAUCAAGAAUGCUUCGUAUAUCUCUCGAUCCUGCUGUGAUCGGAGAUUAAUUUCUAUUGAGGUUUUAUCAAAGGCAGGCGAGCAUCCACAUCUAUCGCAGUGGAAUGCCAAGUGGCCCGACGGUGGCAUCCCUUUCAACAACGUCGCGUGCUCACGUAACCUAGUAUUGAUACACCUGCCCGUCUGGCCGAUGUACACUCUUCCACAGGAUAGCGGAAUACAAUAAACCACACACUGGCGGCAAUCAACCCAUCUGUUUUUGUGUUUGGUGUUACACACAUGUCUUUUUUGUCGCUUGUUCACCUUAGGGCAAAGACUAUACAACUUGCAAGGGGCUGAGAUCAAAACAGGAACAUUAUGUCUGACACCUACUUUCUUUAUGUUAUGUGCAAGUCCGUGAAAAUAGGGAAUUGAGACCGGUCUACCCUCCACCCGGCUCCCACCAAGCUUCGGUAAGCCCUUACAUUUCCGAACAAGGCACUCUGCCACAGAGAUGAGUAGAUCCUCGGGAUAACCCCCAACCCGCAUUUUUUCUAGCUGAGACUCGAAACUCCCCUGUUUCUGGCUGCGGUGGUGUGAACUUGUCAUGUACCGACUUCCCCAACUUCGGACCCUCAGUGACUAUAUCCCCAUACUGUAUUCAUAUCAAUUUGCAAGUGCUACUUCACACCAACCAGUAACGCAAUGUAUGUAUGCUUUUUUUUUAUUCUGUGCAGUGCACAGGUGUUUGCCGCAAACACGUUCCAGUCCAUAAGCUCUAAGAGAACAUAGGCUAUCACCUUGCCUAUAAUUGAUUUAUAUAUUGAUAUAGAUAUAUACCGAUUCAGCUGCGAUCGUAUCAAGGGUCCAUUUCUACGUUCCACAUUGCAACACUAGAACCCACAAAACAUUUUAUGUAUGUGGUAACAGUUACAAGAAAUCGCCUUCUUUGAGGCUUCAGAUUGUAUAUAACUCCCAUUCCGGGGUUUUUGAUCUGUUCAGUGGUGACCUAUUUGGGGUCGUACGCCAACUUCGAUGCCUCCUUCAUGAUGGGUCCAAAGCUAGGCCAGUUGUUGUCUCGCCAUCUACAUGGUUUUGUCUUUGUCGUAGUAUUUGUUUUUGUUUUAUCGUAUGUAAUUAUGGCGUUUUAAUUCAUUUCUUUGUAUUGACUGUCUGUAUGGUGCACCAUUAGGGAGGCCCUCUGGCCAUUCAUGGGCACCAGAAAAAUAGAAAUAAAUAAAUACAUAAAUAUAACACCUCG
This is a long non-coding RNA of Ornithodoros turicata, 3208 nucleotides long. RefSeq lists it as uncharacterized. The transcript has 2 exons. The record is from RefSeq and is a predicted model, not a curated record. Lineage: Eukaryota; Metazoa; Arthropoda; Arachnida; Ixodida; Argasidae.